AAAAGGUAGGACAUAAAAUAAACCUGAUGCAGAUCUGCACUCGGAAUUAACAUACAAUAAAAUUACCAAGUCACUGUAUUGGUGAACCUAUUUGUUCAUUUAUUUUUCCUAUGAAAAUAGAAACUCAUCAUCAUGGAGAAAAUCUGGGAGAUUUUGUUAGCAUUUUUUUAUUUUGAUGAAAGAAACAAUAUGCUGUUCUAAGACUUGUAAGACAGAUGAACAUUACAAGUCCCUUGUGACACCAUUUCUCAGAGAUAACUUCUGAAACACACUGGAAUAAUAUAAAACAAAAUAUUAUCACUAUUUAACAAUGCUUUUUUUUUCUGUUAACAAAUCAUGUAUCAUUCCACAUAGGUGCAUGAUUAUCAACUUCAUUUUGUCUUUAAGUGACUACACAGGAUGUACUGUAAUGGUCUUUUUUUUUGGUAAUGGUCUUUUAUUGACGAUUUUAAUAUUGUUUCCAGUUUUCCUUACAAAAUACUGCAUUUAAUGUAUUGUACUUUUGUAUAUCUAUAGCAGUAUUUUGAUAAAAUAAAGUAUUAGGUAUAGAAUUGUUAAACCGGACAAUAUGACCAUUCACAACUAGAUAUACUGCCAAAUUGACUUUUUAAAAUAUGUUGUCUAUGAACUCUCACAAUAUAAUGAAGCAGUUAGGCUGCAGCUUAGAUUAUUUAUUUCAAUCAAAGCCGAGAAGAAAUUAGACCAAAGUCGUACACAUUUUAAAUUAUUUUAUCCAACUUUCUAUCCUCCCUUUUUUACAUUCAACUAUCCAUAUAUCUACCACCAUAACAGUUUUUUUAUUACUUUAUUAUUUUUUAAAAAUUCACAGCAAAAUUGAGAGGAAGGUACAGAGAUUUCUCAUCUGCCCUCUGCCCCCAGCCCCACAUACAGCCGUCCCCAUUAGGAACAUCCCACACACGAGUGGCAUGAUUGUCACAACUGAUGAACCUACACUGGCACAUCUUUACCCCCGAAGUCCAUAGUUUACCUAAGGGUUAUAAAUUCUGUGGAUUUUGACAAAUGGAUAACGGCACAUACCCACCAUUACAGUAUCAUACAGACUAUUUCCACUGCCCUAAAAAUCCUCCAUGCUCCAGACUUAUUCAUCUUUAUCUCACCACUUAACCCCUGGCACCACUGAUCCCAUCCGUUCACCGUGUCCUGCGUUUUGCCUUUUCUAGAAUGCCAUUUGGUGGGAAUCACACAGAAUGCAGCCUUUUCCAGUUGCCUUCAUUUACUUAGGAAUAUGCAUUAAGUUUCCCCCACGAUGACUACAGAUAAACAAAAACUAUGGUGCAGUAUCAGGAAGGAAAUUUAAAUUAUCUACAAUUCCACCAAACAGUGGUAACUACUGUUCAUACUCUGAUCAUUUUGCUUCAGUCUUUUCCCUUGUACACAUGACCACAGGAAACUAGAAUAGCAGUGCUGUCAGCACUUUGUGGCUCUCCUUUUAAAUUUAACAUUGUCAUAUUAUCACUUCCCAUGUCAGUAAGUGGUGUUCUUUGAAAACGUAAGUUUAAUGGCUACAUAAUAUUCCACUGGAAGGCUAUAUAAGAUUUCUUCUAACUAGUUCCUGACAUUUCUAAGUUAUGUUUUCAUUACUAUAAAAAUGAGAAUAUACUUAGAAAUAAUCUUUGUUUUUAUGAGCAUUUUCUUUGGACAGUUUUCUAGAAGUGGAAUUAUUGAUAUAAAGAUAUCAAUACUUCUAAAGCUCUAGUAACAUAUCAUCAAAACUUUUCUAGUUUGCGCCAGUUUAUGUCCCCUCCAUCAGUGUACAAGAGAGCUUAAUAAAUUCUAGGCAACAUGUAAAUUCUAAAAUCAGUAUACUUAGGCAAAAACAGAAUUUAAAAUUUGUUCAACAUUUAAAAAUGUUUAUUAGCCUUUGUAUUUCCUCUUUUCUGACUUUUCUGCCAUCUACAGAAUUUUAGUGUUUUUCUGAUUAAUUAUAUAUGCUUGUCAUAGAUUGAGGAUGUUACCCUUUCUCUGUUAUAUUUUAAGUAACUAUUUGUUAAUUUCAUUCAAGUUGUAUUUAAGUAGCCUCUUUUAUACUAAGACAUUUUGAAUUUUAUGUGGUUGAGUAUUAUAUUUUCCUUUGAAAUUUCCAUUGUUUUAAGCUUACACACUGUUCCUAAUAGAAAAAAGUUUAUAAAUGUCCACUCUUAUUUACUUGUAGUUUUUUGUUUAUCUUUCUUAAGGUUUUACUCCGUACAUUUAGAGCUGCUUAAAGCUCCAGGGAUUUAUUUUGGUAUGAAACCAUGAGGUGAGGAUUAAAAUAGAUCUUUUUCUUAAAAAGCAAACAACUGCUUCAGCACCAUUUCUUUUAACAACUUCUCCACGUUCUUCCACAUAAUUGGGUCUGUCUGGGAGUCACACACUCCGCUGUACUGACCCGCUACUCUGUUUUUGUGGCAAAAAGAAAAUGUUUUCAUUACCGUGGAUACAAAAUAUGUGUUAACAUAGAAGCUACGUGUCUCCUAAUUUCUCUUCUUAAAAAAUGUAGAUAGAUGAUCAUUAUAAUCAUCUUUUUAUAUUAUAAGAAAAAAAUCACAUUAACAGUUUUGAUUGGAAUCGCACUGAACUUCUGAAUUCAGGAAGAACUGACAUUUAAAAGUCUUUCAUGUAUAUUAGUAAGUUUUUAUAAUUUUCUUCAACUAAGUUCCACAUCCACCUUGAGAGCAUUUUUAGAUUUUUGUUGAGGCGAACUUCGGCGCACGGGGCUGUGAAGCCCGGGUAGGCAGCGGGCUCGAGGGCCGCCUGCGGACGGGGGGGCCGGGAAGCGCCGUGACGGGCCCGACGGGGGCACCGGGACGUCCGCGCCGCCGCAGCUCCGGAGGCCGAGGGGGCGCGCCAGCCGGCGCCGUCGAGGCGGAGGCAGAGGCUGCGGGCCUCCGGGGCAGGAGGGGCGCCUGCGGGGACAAAUGGGGCGGAGCCCGCGCCCGUCGGAGAGGGCGGCCCGGCGCGAGCCCCCAUCGGGGCGCAGACGCCCGGCCGCCGCCUCGGCUCUGCGGGGAGGGGGGGGCGCGGUGGCCUCCUGCGCACCCGGCCCCGGGCUCUCCGUGCCGAGCGGGGCUCCGGGCGCAUGGCUCGCGGACCCCGGACUUGGCGGCCCGGCGGCAGCCCCACCCGGCCGCGCACCCGGGGCCGCCUCCCUCCUCCCGCCCCCGCCCUCGCCCUCGCCCUCGCGUCCCGGGGCCACGUCCCACUCCGGCUCCGCGUGAGAACUUCCCGGCGGUCCGCACCCGCCGCGCGCCCGGAUUUGCUGGAGCGCCGAGCUCGGCCCCUGCGCACCUGGCGGGGCUCCGGGGAAUCCAGCCGCGAGCGUGCUGACGUCACCGAGAAAGUACAGGAACCGGUCUGCAGCUCCGUGUUCGGUCAAACGUUUGCAGAGGAUCUCUGAUGGGCAGAAUUCAGUCUAAAAUUGGAUUAUCAGCUGAUUUUUUUGUCAUGUCUGUCAUGUAAAUUAAUGUAAUGCUUGAUAAAUCUAAUUUUUCAGAAGAAAACGGAAUUAAAGUCUAUGUUUUUCUUCCCUGUCCUCUCAGAAAAAAUACACCUCAGACCAACCAGCCAAGUCAGGCAAAACAUACGGGAACUCCUGCUCAGGCCAAAAGCGACUAAGACGAGGGCGCAAUGAGGCUACCUGCCCGAAGGCCCAGCGUGCGCUCAGCAGAUCUUGCUUUGAAUUCUCCUGGGUAUAUACUCAUAAGUGAACUGCUGGAUUACAUGCUCAUUAUCCACAGUGAAUCACUUUUUGCUUUGGCUGCCAGGAGUCCAGAGUCAAGCGCCAGCCUCCCUGCCUCCCUCACACUGCGCUCAGCCCCCUGAGGCUCCCUGGUCGCCAAGACCGCAGGUGGGUGAUUCAGGAGACAGAGGCCAUGAUGGGAGGGCUGCUGGCCGCAGAGGCUGCCUGUGCCCCCCGUCCCCGUGCCACAGACUCAGGGCCUCCCCCGUGGCUGCAUUUCCUCCACAGGCAAUCCGGUCUCCUUUCUCGGCCAGCCGGUCUCCUGCGACAACACGCCUUCUGCUUCAGCCUCCCGGGGCCUGCGUGCAGCCACCACAGCCCUCCAGGCUCUGUGACAGGACCUCUCGGCUUCACCUUCCACCUGCUGGCUUGCCUCCUAGGACUUCCAGGUUCAGCUGCAGGGCAAGAAGCUGGCCAGCCUACACCUGUUUUCUCACCAGGCCCCUGGCUGGUCUUUGGACAAGUGUGCAUUCUCAGUUUAAUGAAUUAACGCUAAAAGAAAACAAGGUCAUGAGAUAAAACAUGACUUCCUGCAUCUUCUCACCAGGGGCUGCAGAAGGUGGUUCUUACACCAAAGAGGAGGCGGAACAUAGGCAGACACUGCAUAUGAUGUAUCUGGCCCAUCGUUACGUGGCCAUGACCUGACACACACACAAACAUUCUUACGUGCCUUACUUACAGCUAUCUCCACAGUUUACUGCACACACACACAAAUAGUUUCCCUGGCCUUGAUUCUAAUUAUUAUUUUCACUUUUAUUUUAUAUAUUAUAUAUUUUAUAUUAUUACAUAUCCUUACAAACUUCCACAGAAACUUCCUGAAAUCAGACGGAACAUAAUAAACAGAAAAUCCACAGUGACAGGCAAAACAAAGUUAACUUCACAUUUUACCGGCGUUAACCCUACUUUGGAGGCCAUUUUUAUAUGAUGACACUGCA
Manis pentadactyla (Chinese pangolin) is the source of this 4674-nucleotide long non-coding RNA. RefSeq lists it as uncharacterized. NCBI's taxonomy places the organism in Eukaryota, Metazoa, Chordata, Mammalia, Pholidota, Manidae. The record is from RefSeq and is a predicted model, not a curated record. The transcript is spliced from 3 exons.